Molecule: ribosomal RNA, 858 nt
Filed under: Thelebolales sp.
Lineage: Eukaryota; Fungi; Ascomycota; Leotiomycetes; Thelebolales
Description: partial large subunit ribosomal RNA
Rfam family: Eukaryotic large subunit ribosomal RNA
Source: RNAcentral
GGAUUACCUCAGUAACGGCGAGUGAAGCGGUAACAGCUCAAAUUUGAAAUCUGGCAGCAAUGUCCGAGUUGUAAUUUGUAGAGGAUGUUUCGAGCAUGGUCUGGCCUAAGUUCCUUGGAACAGGACGUCAUAGAGGGUGAGAAUCCCGUAUGCGGUCAGGUGCCUACGCUCAUGUGAAACUCCUUCGACGAGUCGAGUUGUUUGGGAAUGCAGCUCAAAAUGGGUGGUAAAUUUCAUCUAAAGCUAAAUAUUGGCCAGAGACCGAUAGCGCACAAGUAGAGUGAUCGAAAGAUGAAAAGCACUUUGGAAAGAGAGUUAAACAGUACGUGAAAUUGUUGAAAGGGAAGCGCUUGCAACCAGACUUGCACGCAGCUGAUCAUCCGCUGUUCUCAGUGGUGCACUCGGUUGCGUUCAGGCCAGCAUCGGUUUUGGUGGUGGGAUAAAGGCCUUAGGAAUGUAGCUGCUUUCGGGCAGUGUUAUAGCCUAGGGUGCAAUGCCGCCUACUGGGACCGAGGACCGCGCUUCGGCUAGGAUGCUGGCGUAAUGGUUGUAAGCGACCCGUCUUGAAACACGGACCAAGGAGUCUAACAUCUAUGCGAGUGUUUGGGUGUCAAACCCAUACGCGUAAUGAAAGUGAACGGAGGUCAGAACCCUUAAGGGUGCAUGAUCGACCGGUCCUGAAGUCUUCGGAUGGAUCUGAGUAAGAGCAUAGCUGUUGGGACCCGAAAGAUGGUGAACUAUGCCUGAAUAGGGUGAAGCCAGAGGAAACUCUGGUGGAGGCUCGCAGCGGGUUCUGACGUGCAAAUCGAUCGUCAAAUUUGGGUAUAGGGGCGAAAGACUAAUCGAACCAUCUAGUAG